Molecule: ribosomal RNA, 292 nt
Filed under: uncultured prokaryote
Description: partial 16S ribosomal RNA
Rfam family: Bacterial small subunit ribosomal RNA
Source: RNAcentral
GUGCCAGCCGCCGCGGUAAUACGGAGGGUGCGAGCGUUAAUCGGAAUUACUGGGCGUAAAGCGCAUGCAGGUGGUUUGUUAAGUCAGAUGUGAAAGCCCGGGGCUCAACCUCGGAAUUGCAUUUGAAACUGGCAGGCUAGAGUACUGUAGAGGGGGGUAGAAUUUCAGGUGUAGCGGUGAAAUGCGUAGUGAUCUGAAGGAAUACCGGUGGCGAAGGCGGCCCCCUGGACAGAUACUGACGCUCAGAUGCGAAAGCGUGGGGAGCAAACAGGAUUAGAAACCCGCGUAGUCC